UACGGAGGAUGCAAGCGUUAUCCGGAAUGAUUGGGCGUAAAGCGUCCGCAGGUGGCUAUGUAAGUCUGCUGUUAAAGAGUCUGGCUCAACCAGAUAAAGGCAGUGGAAACUACAUGGCUAGAGUGCGUUCGGGGCAGAGGGAAUUCCUGGUGUAGCGGUGAAAUGCGUAGAGAUCAGGAAGAACACCGGAGGCGAAGGCGGCUUGCUGGGCGUGAUCUGACGCUGAGGCGCGAAAGCGUGGGGAGCGAACAGG
Molecule: ribosomal RNA, 253 nt
Filed under: uncultured bacterium
Lineage: Bacteria
Description: partial 16S ribosomal RNA
Rfam family: Bacterial small subunit ribosomal RNA
Source: RNAcentral